RNAcentral lists this ribosomal RNA (461 nucleotides) under uncultured bacterium. Its description in RNAcentral is "partial 16S ribosomal RNA". It matches the Rfam family "Bacterial small subunit ribosomal RNA", at positions 355 to 808 of the family's 1533-position model. The record is from RNAcentral.
UGGGGAAUAUUGCACAAUGGGCGCAAGCCUGAUGCAGCCAUGCCGCGUGUGUGAAGAAGGCCUUCGGGUUGUAAAGCACUUUCAGCGAGGAGGAAGGUGGUGAGCUUAAUACGCUCAUCAAUUGACGUUACUCGCAGAAGAAGCACCGGCUAACUCCGUGCCAGCAGCCGCGGUAAUACGGAGGGUGCAAGCGUUAAUCGGAAUUACUGGGCGUAAAGCGCACGCAGGCGGUUUGUUAAGUCAGAUGUGAAAUCCCCGGGCUCAACCUGGGAACUGCAUUUGAAACUGGCAAGCUAGAGUCUCGUAGAGGGGGGUAGAAUUCCAGGUGUAGCAGUGAAAUGCGUAGAGAUGUGGAGGAAUACCGAUGGCGAAGGCAGCCCCCUGGGCCAAUACUGACGCUCAUGCACGAAAGCGUGGGGAGCAAACNGGAUUAGAUNCCCUGGUAGUCCACGCCCUAAAGG